This is a small nucleolar RNA of Apodemus sylvaticus (European woodmouse), 70 nucleotides long. RefSeq annotates it as small nucleolar RNA U2-30. The record is from RefSeq and is a predicted model, not a curated record. The transcript has a single exon. Lineage: Eukaryota; Metazoa; Chordata; Mammalia; Rodentia; Muridae.
GAGUAAUGAUGAAAAAAUUGCAUUACAGAACUUUGUAAAUGAGAAGAUUUCUACAUUUGACCUGAGCUUG